RNAcentral lists this ribosomal RNA (401 nucleotides) under uncultured bacterium. RNAcentral's name for it is "partial 16S ribosomal RNA". It matches the Rfam family "Bacterial small subunit ribosomal RNA", at positions 359 to 774 of the family's 1533-position model. The record is from RNAcentral.
GAAUAUUGCACAAUGGGGGAAACCCUGAUGCAGCGACGCCGCGUGAAGGAAGAAGGUCUUCGGAUCGUAAACUUCUAUCAGCAGGGAAGAAGGAAGUGACAGUACCUGAGUAAGAAGCCCCGGCUAACUACGUGCCAGCAGCCGCGGUAAUACGUAGGGGGCGAGCGUUAUCCGGAAUUACUGGGUGUAAAGGGUGCGUAGGCGGUAUGGCAAGUCAGUUGUGAAACCCCCUGGCUCAACCAGGGGCUUGCAAUUGAAACUGUCAUACUAGAGUGCAGGAGAGGAAAGCGGAAUUCCUAGUGUAGCGGUGAAAUGCGUAGAUAUUAGGAAGAACGCCAGUGGCGAAGGCGGCUUUCUGGACUGUAACAGACGCUGAGGCACGAAAGCGUGGGGAGCGAACA